This 192-nucleotide non-coding RNA is filed under the name Salmo salar (Atlantic salmon). RNAcentral describes it as "Eukaryotic large subunit ribosomal RNA". It matches the Rfam family "Eukaryotic large subunit ribosomal RNA", at positions 2121 to 2295 of the family's 3401-position model. The record is from Rfam by way of RNAcentral. Lineage: Eukaryota; Metazoa; Chordata; Actinopteri; Salmoniformes; Salmonidae.
GGACCAGGGGAAUCUUACUGUUUAAUUAAAACAAAGCAUCGAAGGCCCAAGGUGGGUGUUGACGCAAUGUGAUUUCUGCCCAGUGCUCUAAAUGUCAAAGUGAAGAAAUUCAAUGAAGCGCGGGUAAACGGCAGGAGUAACUAUGACUCUUAAGGAGUCCUUAGCCCAGGACAUUGGGGGUCUAUGCUUCCC